Molecule: ribosomal RNA, 484 nt
Filed under: uncultured bacterium
Lineage: Bacteria
Description: partial 16S ribosomal RNA
Rfam family: Bacterial small subunit ribosomal RNA
Source: RNAcentral
AUUGAACGCUGGCGGCAUGCUUUACACAUGCAAGUCGAACGGCAGCGCGGGCUUCGGCUUGGCGGCGAGUGGCGAACGGGUGAGUAAUACAUCGGAACGUGCCCAGUAGUGGGGGAUAGCUCGGCGAAAGCCGGAUUAAUACCGCAUACGACCUGAGGGUGAAAGCGGGGGAUCUUCGGACCUCGCGCUAUUGGAGCGGCCGAUGGCAGAUUAGCUAGUUGGUGGGGUAAAGGCCUACCAAGGCGACGAUCUGUAGCUGGUCUGAGAGGACGACCAGCCACACUGGGACUGAGACACGGCCCAGACUCCUACGGGAGGCAGCAGUGGGGAAUUUUGGACAAUGGGCGAAAGCCUGAUCCAGCAAUGCCGCGUGUGUGAUGAAGGCCUUCGGGUUGUAAAGCACUUUUGGCGGGAACGAAAAGGACUGUGCCAAUACCACGGUUCGAUGACGGUACCCGCAGAAUAAGCACCGGCUAACUACGUG